Molecule: long non-coding RNA, 1027 nt
Filed under: Homo sapiens (human)
Lineage: Eukaryota; Metazoa; Chordata; Mammalia; Primates; Hominidae
Description: HSALNT0062248
Source: RNAcentral
ACUUACAGUGACAUGUCAUGAGAAUCAGUCAAGAAAAGCGAAAAGAAAUUUUUUUAAAGGUAGACGGUGGAUUUUUUUUAAGGAAAAAGAACGAUUAUACUCACUUGUUGGGGAGUAGGAAUCUGAAAGAAUUAAAAAGAGAUAAUCUGACUUCAUUUAUUGGCCAGUUAACAAUGUAAUGAGAAACACUUUGUGUAAACUGGAAAGAUUCGUUCAAAGUUUAUAAAAUGUUGUCUUCUCAAAACAAGAGACAGUGACAUUUACAUUCUUCUCUAAACAUAAUUUCAAGUCAAGGUCUUGAUGGCAUUAAUUAUGUUUCCAUAGUUACAUUUAACCUCUCCAAGUCAUAUAAACCCUUAUGAGAAACCCCUUUGACACAGACACUGGGAUUUUUCUGCCUCUUUUAUUGCUAUUUAUCACAAUUUUCAGACGUCUUUAAAAGUGAGACAACAUUUUCUGAACACUGGUAUUUCAGAGAGAAAAAGAGAAAAUUUAAAACAAGGUCAUCACCAGCUCUGUUUGCUUUGUCUUUUGUGGGGGUGAUAUUUGCACAGAAUCAUGAAGGCAACCAUACAUCUGCUGAUGAAAAUGAAGAUGGAACAGGACUAUCUCAGCCCAAAGGACAAGGACAUUUGCCAUCAAGUGGCCUUUGUUCUAUUCCCAACCCCUCUAUCAUCUCUUCAAAAUUGGGUGGCUUUCCUAUCUCCCUAGCAAUGGCCACGGAUGCCUGAAGCCACAGGAAGAUGGGCAGGUAUGCAGAGCUCCCGGAACACUGCACUCAGCUCACUGGCCUUCAAGCCUCUGGAUGGAGCCUUAACUUGUAUCUUAUAUAGAUACUUAAUCGCUGUCCUUUCAAGCAACGAAGAUAGAUAAUAUGUAAUCCUUGCCAGGGCCCCCAGCCCUCAGUGAUUCUGCUGCCUACACUGUGGUAUAGACCAGAAGUUAGAGCAACUAUCUGCAUUUUACUUGACAAGGAAAUGUUUUUAAUGAAAAACUUUAAUAAAAAUGUAUUCUUGGCUUCUGCAAU